This 1118-nucleotide ribosomal RNA is filed under the name uncultured organism. RNAcentral's name for it is "bacterial SSU rRNA". It matches the Rfam family "Bacterial small subunit ribosomal RNA", at positions 232 to 1358 of the family's 1533-position model. The record is from RNAcentral.
AACGUCCUAUCAGGUUGUUGGUGAGGUAAUGGCUCACCAAGCCGAAGACGGGUAGCGGGUGUGAGAGCAUGACCCGCCGCAUCGGGACUGAGACACUGCCCGGACUCCUACGGGAGGCUGCAGUAACGAAUAUUCCGCAAUGCGCGAAAGCGUGACGGAGCAAUGCCGCGUGCAGGAUGAAGCCCCUCGGGGUGUAAAACUGCUGUCAGGGGUUACCAAGCUCUGAGGAGCCCCAAAGGAAGGGCCGGCUAACUUCGUGCCAGCAGCCGCGGUAAUACGAAGGGCCCGAGCGUUAAUCGGAAUCAUUGGGCUUAAAGCGUACGUAGGCGGGCGCGCAGGCAUCUUGUGAAAUCCCUCCGCUCAACGGAGGAACUGCAGGGUGAACCGCGUGCCUUGAGACAGGUAGGGGCUGUCGGAACGCUAGGUGGAGUGGUGAAAUGCGUUGAUAUCUAGCGGAACGCCAAAGGAGAAAUCAGGCAGCUGGGCCUGUUCUGACGCUGAGGUACGAAAGCGUGGGGAGCGAACGGGAUUAGAUACCCCGGUAGUCCACGCUGUAAACGAUGUGCACUAGAUCGAGGGGGUUCUGACACUGCUCUCGGUCGAAGCGAAAGUGUUAAGUGCACCGCCUGGGGAGUACGGUCGCAAGGCUAAAACUCAAAGGAAUUGACGGGGGCUCACACAAGCGGUGGAGCAUGUGGCUUAAUUCGAAGCAACGCGAAGAACCUUAUCCUGGGUUUGACAUGUACGGAUUAACUCCUGGAAACAGGAGCCACGCCCUUCGGGUGGAACGUACACAGGUGCUGCAUGGCUGUCGUCAGCUCGUGCUGUGAAGUGUCGGGUUAAGUCCCUUAACGAGCGCAACCCCUAUCGCUAGUUGCCAGCGCGUCAUGGCGGGGACUCUAGCGAGACUGCCGGUGUCAAACCGGAGGAAGGUGGGGACGACGUCAAGUCCGCAUGGCCUUUAUGCCCAGGGCUGCACACGUGCUACAAUGGCCGGUACAGAACGAUGCAAGACCGCGAGGUGGAGCAAGUCGCUAAAACCGGCCCCAGUUCAGAUUGGAGGCUGCAACUCGCCUCCAUGAAGUCGGAAUCGCUAGUAAUCGGGGAUCAGCUACGCC